Molecule: long non-coding RNA, 2498 nt
Organism: Apteryx owenii (little spotted kiwi)
Lineage: Eukaryota; Metazoa; Chordata; Aves; Apterygiformes; Apterygidae
Source: Ensembl
GGAGCUUGAAGCAAAGCCUGAGAUUGCUAAAUCUUCAUGCUGCCCCUGUUCAGCCUGGGGGAAAGACUGCAUGUCCUCCUCUUCUGUGCAAAGGUUUUGUGUUCUUUGGGGUGUUCACCUCAUAAACCACCGGACAGUGUUGGCAGGGAGAGUCUUUCUGCAGAGCAGCAAAGGACUCGUGAUGGGAGAGACUGUUCUCCACACAACGUUGCUAAUCUUACCCGUACAUGGGAGAGGAGAAGAUGGGGCAAUCGAUACCUAUCUCAGCUGAACUUGUCUCUUGUGUGUGUGGAAGGCAUUGCCCCGGCUCAUCACGUGAGGCCUACGAUAAUGUCUCCUAUGCUGCACUGGCAUGAAACAAGACUUCAGACGGCAUCCCAGUGAAACAUGUCUCAAUGAGACCUUUCCAAACUCCGUCUAUUCCCCCAGCUCCGUGCCACUGGGAGGAUAAAGAGUAUGCUGUGAAACACAAGCUCAUUCUAAAAUGGUGAAAGGAGUUCCCUAUUUUGAGAGGGAAAUGAGGAAUGUAAAGCAAAAAUGUGGGGACAGACUAAACAGUGGUCCUAGUGAAACUGCAUGCAUAUCAUCUUUUGCAAGAAGUGUUAGUGUAGAAAACACACAGGGAACUGCUGUAGAACUUACAGUCGCUUUUUUUUUUAUUCCAAUAUAUACAAGGUAUUUUAAAGCACCCAUGGACCUCUUUGGAAAUUAGGCUAGCUGUGCUUUAGAGAGUACUGGUAUGCUAAAAACAAAUGAAAAGAGUUCCGAUGCUGCAGUGAGUAAAACAUGGGCAUACCUUGAAUAAAAACAUCCCUUUCCAAUUGAAUGGAAUAGAAACAGGGAACAAGAAAAUAGGGAAAAACAAAAUAAAUGCCUUCUACUAGAUGGCUCUUCCUUAGGAAGAACUAACUGAAGUUACGUUUUUUGCGUCGACGGUUUUUUCAUCAGGCAGUGGUUUCUGUUCAUGGACAAUGGAUACCAAGAACGAUGAAUACAGAAGAAAGCUGCCUUUUAUUCCAGGCCAGCAGGAUGAGCUUCUGGCAUUAUACUCUUCAGUUCACAGUGAAGAUGAAGCUGUCUGUGGCUUUUCUUGUCCGAGGUGCAGUGAGCCUAAUCCCAAGGAUGAACCCAACUGUGCAUCGAUAGAAGAUGACUCCUCACCUUUCCCCAUGAGAAUCUUGGAGCACCACCCCAGCGUUAUCAGCCUCGCAGAGGAUUAUGUGUGGCACAGCGGCGAUGUCAUGAACGAGAACAAACUUUUUGUCAGUAAUGAAGUGUUGGUCUUUAAUGAACUUUUGCAGCCAAAACAUAGGCAUCUGCUUGAGCCGGGUGAAAAAGAUCCAAGGUGGCAGCUUGAGUCGCACAAGGCAGACCUGAGGAGAGACCGCUAUAGCCUGGGCAGGGAGGAAGCAGAAGUUAAGUUAUCCGUCUCCUGGAGGAACAGAGCUACAGCCUGGCUGCUUGUGUUUCACAUUGCUAGAAGAUAAAAAAGAUGCAGUAGUACUCCCCUUCUUUCCAUCGUACCUGGCAAACUACCUGAGCCCUUUCCGGCUACGCAGUAAAAACAGUUCCCAGGUUCAUUCCCUGGGAACAUCCAGGAUCUGAGGUCAGCAGGCUGUGCUGCCACGAGCCCUUUACUGAACUCCGGCUGUACAAAAUUGCUGCUGCUUUCCAUGGUCAUUGAAAUAGCUGGAUAUGACGUGAUCAGAACCCUCGGCAGUAACGAUGAAAGACAGCUGGGUUUUCAUCUACUUGCUUAGAGGUAACAUCUCUACAGGAACAAAUGGGGGUUUGGUCUUCCCAGAUCAUGCUGCUGACUGCUAAAUGCUGUAAAUCCCUGGCGAUUAUGGUGGCAGUCUGCUGGAACUGAGGAAGCUGUGCAUGCUUGUUACAGGAUUCACCACUGUUAACCUGUCUGGAUAGGCAGAGAUGUUAAUCUGUCUCUUAGACAAUUUAAAUUAAAAAACACCUAAAGCCCUUGAUUUUUGAGACCAAAACAGCCAAAAUUAUUCAGUGUAUUACCUGGACAGAGGGAAUUUCCAGUGACUUCGAAAUGAACCCUCUCUUCUCCUGAUGUUAGCCAUUAAGCCUACUGCCUCUGCUGCCCCAUCUCACCUCCUUCCCCACAGCCAGGCUAACACCUUACGUUUCUUUUGCAAGAUUCCCAUUUUGCAGGAUAACUGUGUGCUGUUUCUCAGCUGCAAAACACAAUGACCGCUGCUUGGCGCCAAGCCCGUCCUUUGGACACAUCCCAUUCAAGGCCCGCGUUUUCAUAGAUCUCCUAACCCUCCGCUUCCUUUCUGACAUUAACGAAACUUUCCAUGUAUUGUUCUGGACAAAGCAAAAAGGAAAGACUUGCACACAAGCCACACACGCUAGAAUUGCGUCCUCCAAAGAAAUUCCUGUCAAUAGCAGCCUCAGACCCCUCCAGAAUUAGGCUGCGGAGCAUUCUCUGCAAAUGUCAUUAAACAGCGGCCGCGGUGUAACUUACUGAGCUG